This 543-nucleotide ribosomal RNA is filed under the name Bifidobacterium dentium. RNAcentral describes it as "bacterial SSU rRNA". It matches the Rfam family "Bacterial small subunit ribosomal RNA", at positions 159 to 711 of the family's 1533-position model. The record is from RNAcentral. Lineage: Bacteria; Bacillati; Actinomycetota; Actinomycetes; Bifidobacteriales; Bifidobacteriaceae.
GGUGGUAAUGCCGGAUGCUCCGGUUGGAUGCAUGUCCUUCCGGGAAAGGUUCCAUCGGUAUGGGAUGGGGUCGCGUCCUAUCAGCUUGAUGGCGGGGUAACGGCCCACCAUGGCUUCGACGGGUAGCCGGCCUGAGAGGGCGACCGGCCACAUUGGGACUGAGAUACGGCCCAGACUCCUACGGGAGGCAGCAGUGGGGAAUAUUGCACAAUGGGCGCAAGCCUGAUGCAGCGACGCCGCGUGCGGGAUGGAGGCCUUCGGGUUGUAAACCGCUUUUGAUCGGGAGCAAGCCCUUCGGGGUGAGUGUACCUUUCGAAUAAGCACCGGCUAACUACGUGCCAGCAGCCGCGGUAAUACGUAGGGUGCAAGCGUUAUCCGGAAUUAUUGGGCGUAAAGGGCUCGUAGGCGGUUCGUCGCGUCCGGUGUGAAAGCCCAUCGCUUAACGGUGGGUCUGCGCCGGGUACGGGCGGGCUGGAGUGCGGUAGGGGAGACUGGAAUUCCCGGUGUAACGGUGGAAUGUGUAGAUAUCGGAAAAGAACACCA